AGUGAACGCUGGCGGUAGGCCUAACACAUGCCAGUCGAACGGCAGCACAGUAAGAGCUUGCUCUUACGGGUGGCGAGUGGCGGACGGGUGAGGAAUACAUCGGAAUCUACUUUUUCGUGGGGGAUAACGUAGGGAAACUUACGCUAAUACCGCAUACGACCUACGGGUGAAAGCAGGGGAUCUUCGGACCUUGCGCGAUUGAAUGAGCCGAUGUCGGAUUAGCUAGUUGGCGGGGUAAAGGCCCACCAAGGCGACGAUCCGUAGCUGGUCUGAGAGGAUGAUCAGCCACACUAGAACUGAGACACGGUCCAGACCCCUACGGGAGGCAGCAGUGGGGAAUAUUUGACAAUGGGCGCAAGCCUGAUCCAGCCAUACCGCGUGGGUGAAGAAAGCCUUCGGGUUGUAAAGCCCUUUUGUUGGGAAAGAAAAGCAGCAGGUUAAUACCCCGCUGUUCUGGCGGUACCCAAAGAAUAAGCACCGGCUAACUUCGUG
This 492-nucleotide ribosomal RNA is filed under the name uncultured bacterium. RNAcentral's name for it is "partial 16S ribosomal RNA". It matches the Rfam family "Bacterial small subunit ribosomal RNA", at positions 29 to 507 of the family's 1533-position model. The record is from RNAcentral.